AGUCGCGGGAAUCCCAGCAAUGGGGGAACCGGCGUAAGGGGCAGUAAGGCGUGGGUACCUACCCCGGGGUCCGGGAUAGCCGUCCGAGAGGGCGGGUAAUACCGGAUGACCUCGGGAGAGCAAAGCUCCGGCGCCCUGGGAGGGGCCCACGUGAUAUUAGCUGGUUGGUGAGGUGACGGCUCACCAAGGCGGAGAUGUCUAGCGGGUGUGAGAGCACGACCCGCGCCACUCGCACUGAGACACUGGCGAGACACCUACGGGUGGCUGCAGUCGAGGAUCUUCGGCAAUGCGCGCAAGCGCGACCGAGCGACGCCGCGUGGGCGAUGAAGGCCUUCGGGUUGUAAAGCCCUGUCGAGGGGGAGAAAAGCGGGCAACCGUGUGAUCUAUCCCUGGAGGAAGCUCGGGCUAAGUUCGUGCCAGCAGCCGCGGUAAGACGAACCGAGCGAACGUUGUUCGGAAUCACUGGGCUUAAAGGGCGCGUAGGCGGGCUGCCAAGUUUGGGGUGAAAUCCUCCGGCUCAACCGGGGAAGGGCCUUGAAUACUGGCGGUCUGGAGGGGGGUAGGGGCGUGCGGAACUAACGGUGGAGCGGUGAAAUGCGUUGAUAUCGUUAGGAACUCCGGUGGCGAAGGCGGCACGCUGGACCCUCACUGACGCUGAGGCGCGAAAGCCAGGGGAGCGAACGGGAUUAGAUACCCCGGUAGUCCUGGCCCUAAACGUUGAGAACUAGGUAGUAGGCCGGACAUGGGCUUACUGCCGGAGCAAAAGUGCUAAGUUCUCCCCCUGGGGAGUAUGGUCGCAAGGCUGAAACUCAAAGGAAUUGACGGGGCUCACACAGCGGUGGAACAUGUG
RNAcentral lists this ribosomal RNA (850 nucleotides) under uncultured Planctomycetia bacterium. RNAcentral's name for it is "bacterial SSU rRNA". It matches the Rfam family "Bacterial small subunit ribosomal RNA", at positions 60 to 943 of the family's 1533-position model. The record is from RNAcentral. Lineage: Bacteria; Pseudomonadati; Planctomycetota; Planctomycetia.